AUUGAACGCUGGCGGCAUGCCUUACACAUGCAAGUCGAACGGCAGCACGGGAGCAAUCCUGGUGGCGAGUGGCGAACGGGUGAGUAAAGUAUCGGAACGUGCCCAGUCGUGGGGGAUAACGUAGCGAAAGUUACGCUAAUACCGCAUACGAUCUUUGGACGAAAGCGGGGGCUCGCAAGACCGCGCGCGGUUGGAGCGGCCGAUAUCAGAUUAGGUGGUUGGGGGGGUAAAGGCUCACCAAGCCGACGAUCUGUAGGUGGUCGAGAAGGACGACCAGCCACACUGGGACUGAGACACGGCCCAGAAUCCUACGGGAGGCAGCAGUGGGGAAUUUUGGACAAUGGGCGAAAGCCUGAUCCAGCCAUGCCGCGUGCAGGAUGAAGGCCUUCGGGUUGUAAACUGCUUUUGUACGGAACGAAAAGGUUUGGCCUAAUAAGCUGAGUUCAUGACGGUACCGUAAGAAUAAGCACCGGCUAACUACGUGCCAGCCGCCGCCGUAA
Molecule: ribosomal RNA, 500 nt
Filed under: uncultured bacterium
Lineage: Bacteria
Description: partial 16S ribosomal RNA
Rfam family: Bacterial small subunit ribosomal RNA
Source: RNAcentral